RNAcentral lists this ribosomal RNA (655 nucleotides) under uncultured bacterium. Its description in RNAcentral is "bacterial SSU rRNA". It matches the Rfam family "Bacterial small subunit ribosomal RNA", at positions 578 to 1244 of the family's 1533-position model. The record is from RNAcentral.
GUCAGAUAAGUCAGUGGUGAAGCCAUCGCUCACGGUGGAACGGCCAUGAUACUGUCUGACUUGAAUUAUUAGGAAGUAACUAGAAUAUGUAGUGUAGCGGUGAAAUGCUUAGAGAUUACAUGGAAUACCAAUUGCGAAGGCAGGUUACUACUAAUUGAUUGACGCUGAUGGACGAAAGCGUGGGUAGCGAACAGGAUUAGAUACCCUGGUAGUCCACGCCGUAAACGAUGGAUACUAGCUGUUGGGAGCAAUCUCAGUGGCUAAGCGAAAGUGAUAAGUAUCCCACCUGGGGAGUACGUUCGCAAGAAUGAAACUCAAAGGAAUUGACGGGGGCCCGCACAAGCGGUGGAGCAUGUGGUUUAAUUCGAUGAUACGCGAGGAACCUUACCAAGGCUUAAAUGUAGAUUGACCGGUUUGGAAACAGACUUUUCGCAAGACAAUUUACAAGGUGCUGCAUGGUUGUCGUCAGCUCGUGCCGUGAGGUGUCAGGUUAAGUCCUAUAACGAGCGCAACCCCUGUUGUUAGUUGCCAGCGAGUCAUGUCGGGAACUCUAACGAGACUGCCAGUGCAAACUGAGAGGAAGGUGGGGAUGACGUCAAGUCCUCAUGGCCCUUAUGGCCAGGGCUUCACACGUAAUACAAUGGUCGGUACAGAG